Molecule: ribosomal RNA, 1101 nt
Filed under: Bacillus licheniformis
Lineage: Bacteria; Bacillati; Bacillota; Bacilli; Caryophanales; Bacillaceae
Description: bacterial SSU rRNA
Rfam family: Bacterial small subunit ribosomal RNA
Source: RNAcentral
AUAUAACUCAUGCAAGAUCGUGACGAGACCUGAACGCACGAGCUUGCUCCCUUAGGUCAGCGGCGGACGGGUGAGUAACACGUGGGUAACCUGCCUGUAAGACUGGGAUAACUCCGGGAAACCGGGGCUAAUACCGGAUGCUUGAUUGAACCGCAUGGUUCAAUCAUAAAAGGUGGCUUUUAGCUACCACUUGCAGAUGGACCCGCGGCGCAAUAGCUAGUUGGUGAGGUAACGGCUCACCAAGGCGACCAUGCGUAGCCCACCUGAGAGGGUGAUCGGCCACACUGGGACUGAGACACGGCCCAGACUCCUACGGGAGGCAGCAGUAGGGAAUCUUCCGCAAUGGACGAAAGUCUGACGGAGCAACGCCGCGUGAGUGAUGAAGGUUUUCGGAUCGUAAAACUCUGUUGUUAGGGAAGAACAAGUACCGUUCGAAUAGGGCGGUACCUUGACGGUACCUAACCAGAAAGCCACGGCUAACUACGUGCCAGCAGCCGCGGUAAUACGUAGGUGGCAAGCGUUGUCCGGAAUUAUUGGGCGUAAAGCGCGCGCAGGCGGUUUCUUAAGUCUGAUGUGAAAGCCCCCGGCUCAACCGGGGAGGGUCAUUGGAAACUGGGGAACUUGAGUGCAGAAGAGGAGAGUGGAAUUCCACGUGUAGCGGUGAAAUGCGUAGAGAUGUGGAGGAACACCAGUGGCGAAGGCGACUCUCUGGUCUGUAACUGACGCUGAGGCGCGAAAGCGUGGGGAGCGAACAGGAUUAGAUACCCUGGUAGUCCACGCCGUAACGAUGAGUGCUAAGUGUUAGAGGGUUCCGCCCUUUAGUGCUGCAGCAACGCAUUAGCACUCCGCCUGGGGAGUACGGUCGCAGACUGAACUCAAAGGAUUGACGGGGGCCGCACAGCGGUGGAGCAUGUGGUUAAUUCGAAGCACGCGAAAACCUUACAGGUCUUGACUCCUCUGACACCCUAGAGAUAGGCUUCCCUUCGGGGCAAAUGACAGUGGUGCAUGGUUGCGUCACCUCCGGCCUGAGAUGUUGGGUUAAUCCCGAACGAGCGCACCCUUGAUUUAUUGCCACAUUCAUUGGGCCCCUAAGGGGAUGCC